GGCGCAGGGGCGCGCACGGUGUGGGUGCGAUGGGGAGGAGGAGGAAUAGGCCGGGCUCGUCGCAUUCGCUGCCUCCUCGCCUGAAGAGAUGCGAAGGGGAGUGGGAGGCUUGGCUAGCGGCUCCUCGCGCCGGCCUCCGCUCUGCUCAAGCCCCGCUGUGAUAAGGGUCCCCCACCCCCAGCAGGCUCGGGAGGGGUUACGGGCACGGUAACUAGAGCGCAGGGCGGGCGGGGGAAGGGAGGAGACAGGAAGAUUGGUGGUGGCCGAGAGGUGAGGGCCGCGCUGGAGGGCCGCGCGGAGUCGGCGACGCUGCUGCAGCCGCGGCUGCCUCCCCCGCCUCCCUCCUUCCCGGCGGGCCUCGGGCCUGGCCAGGCGGGCCUGCGGCCAGCUUCCUCCCGGCGCGGUGCGGGCACCCCGGCUUCUGUUUGACCCCAGGUUGAUGUGGGCACAGUAUGGAUCACACUUGUGAACUAUCUAAAAGAAAUUGUCUGCUGUCCUUUCCCAAUCCAGUGGAUUUAGAUGCCCCUGAAGACAAGGACAGCCCAUUCGGUAAUGGUCAAUCCAAUUUCUCUGAGCCACUUACUGGAUUGCAGUUACUGACUGCAGUGGAACAUCCCAAAAUGCUUAUGGACAAGAUUCUCCAUCUUGUUACAUUCCACUGCUGAGACUACAGGAUCUGGCCUUCAGGAUCAAUGUAGAGUAUUUAAGUGGGUCUGUUGAUGGAUCAGAGUCCUUUCAAGACCCUGCAAAAAGUGUCUCAAGAGCUCAGUCGCCAAAUGUUUGCACUUGUUUGAAUCCUAAUGGUCCAGCAGCACUUGCUCUGAAACAGGAGCCCUCUUGUAAUAACUGCCCCAAACUCCAGUUAAGAGUAACAGAGACAACCAAGAAUGGCUUUCUGCACUUUGAGAAUUUUGCUUGUGUGGACGAUGCAGAUGUAGAUUCUGAAAUGGCCUCAGAACAGCCAGUCACAGAGGAUGAGCUCUUUGAGGAAACUCAGACCAGUGCCGCCUGCAAUUAUGAGCCUAAAUCAGAAGUAUAGAAGUGGCCAUGGGAAGUGAGCAAGACCAGAGAGUAGACACGGUGAAGUCAAACAGCCAUUCUUGCCAUUAGCUCCUUCACCAAAAAUCAGGAAAAUAAAAGAAGUGAAGUGGAUGUACACAAUGAAAGACAGUCCUCCUCCCAGCCUACAUUUCACUAGGAGACACAAACAUUACCAUAGAAGAACAAUUUAACUCAAUACAUUUACCUUUUCAGGAUGAUCCAGACUCCAGCACUAGUACAUUAGGAAACAUGCUAGAAUUGCCUGGAGCUUCCUCAUCAUCUGCUUCACAGGAAUUGCCAUUUUGUCAACCAAAGAAAACGUCUACACCACUGAAAUAUGAAGUUGGAGAUCUCAUUUGGGCAAAAUUCAAGAGACGCCCAUGGUGGCCCUGCAGGAUUUGUUCUGAUCCAUUGAUGAAUGCGCACUCAAAAAUGAAAGAUGAGGUUUCACAUAUCCUAGGCUGGCCUUGAACUGAUCUUCCUCCAUCUCCCACAUGCUGGGAUUACAGGUAUGUGCCACCCAGUUUAUGUGGUGCUAUGUGUAGCCUGGGACUUUGUGCAUUGUAGGCAGGCACUUUACCAACUGAGCUCCAUCUAUAGUUUUGAGAUUUUUCAUUUUUGUUUUUUUGUUUCUAAAGACAGGGUUUCUCUGUGUAGCCUUGGCUGUCCUGGACUUGCUUUGUAGACCAGGCUGGCCUCAAACUCAGAGAUCCAUCUGCCUCAGCCUUCUUGGGCACUAGGACUAAAGGUAUGUGUCAUCAUUCCCAGCUUAAUGAUUUUUAUUUUAUAUGAAUUGAUGUUCUACAUGCAUGUAUGUCUGUGAGAAUGUUGGAUCUCCUGGAACUGGAGCUUGAGACAGUUGUGAACUGCCAUGUGAGCUCUGGGAAUUGAAGCCUGGGCCUUCUGGAAGAGCAGCCAGUGAGUACUCUUAGCUCCUGAGCCACCUCUCCAGCACCGUAGUGUUUGCUUUUUAAAUUUUUUUGAAAGAUCUUAUUUUCAUUUAUUUUUUUCAUUUUAUGUAUGUGAGCGUUUUUCUUGCAUGCAUGUAUACACACGAAAAGUGGUCCUGAUACCUACAGAGAUCAGAAAAGGUGUCAGAUUACCCGGGACCAGGGUGUAGAUGGCUCUAGGUAGGUGCUAGGAGCCAAAAACCAACCCCUGGUUCUCUUCAAGAUCAACAAGUGCUCUCAAGAUCUGAGCCAUUUCUUCAGUCUUCAAAUUUUUAUUAUUAUUUAUGUAUGUGAGUGUUUUGCCUGCGUGUAUGUCUUUGCAGCAUGUGGGCACAGUGCCCGUGGUUAGGAUCCUGUGAAACUGGAGUUACACACGGCUGUUGGUCACUGGACAUGUAAUUGAACCUGGGUCCUCUAGUAUGACAGUAUUCUGUAGCCAAGGCCGACCUCAAAAUUAUGGAGUUUAGGAUGACCACGAACUCUGGAUCCACCCGACUCCUGGAUUGUAG
RNA transcript from Psammomys obesus (fat sand rat), 2500 nucleotides. It is a transcript of the gene named histone-lysine N-methyltransferase, H3 lysine-36 specific-like, with no coding region annotated. NCBI's taxonomy places the organism in Eukaryota, Metazoa, Chordata, Mammalia, Rodentia, Muridae. The record is from RefSeq and is a predicted model, not a curated record. The transcript has 5 exons.